Molecule: ribosomal RNA, 399 nt
Filed under: grassland soil clone sl2_716
Lineage: Bacteria
Description: bacterial SSU rRNA
Rfam family: Bacterial small subunit ribosomal RNA
Source: RNAcentral
AACACGUGCAAGUCGAGCGCCCCGCAAAGGGAGCGGCAGACGGGUGAGUAACGCGUGGGAAUCUACCCAUCUCUACGGAACAACUCCGGGAAACUGGAGCUAAUACCGUAUACGUCCUUAUGGAGAAAGAUUUAUCGGAGAUGGAUGAGCCCGCGUUGGAUUAGCUAGUUGGUGGGGUAAUGGCCUACCAAGGCGACGAUCCAUAGCUGGUCUGAGAGGAUGAUCAGCCACACUGGGACUGAGACACGGCCCAGACUCCUACGGGAGGCAGCAGUGGGGAAUAUUGGACAAUGGGCGCAAGCCUGAUCCAGCCAUGCCGCGUGAGUGAUGAAGGCUCUAGGGUUGUAAAGCUCUUUCAACGGUGAAGAUAAUGACGGUAACCGUAGAAGAAGCCCCGGC